UUAAAGACCCGGGCAUUUCCUGCAGGUGAAGGAGAUUUCCUGGGCCUCCACACAGGUGCGUGGCGCCAUCUUGGUUGUGAUAGCAACACUAUGGACUAAGUUGAAUUAUCACUUAAAAUCCAGUGAGUUGACAUUGUUGGUGCCACUCCCUGCUGGGGCUGCUGGCUUCCUGCCGGCCCCUCCCCUCUCAUCUUGGGAUAAUCACACUUAUUUCCUCUUAUCAGCCACAUCCUCUCGGAUCUUACCUAACCCACUUCAGAUCCACCCACACCCUUGCCUAUCCCUAAUAUAAAGUCACUUCAUUUCAAAAAUAGUGAAACUAGGACAUCUUCACCAUUUUCCCUGACUGUUGCUCAGUUGCCUUUAAGUUUCAGAAAAGAUGGCGUAUUCUUUUUUCCCAAUCCCCACGUGAUAAUUGUGCAUGUUUGUGGGCACAGUGUGAUGUUUCACUACGUGUACAUGGUGUGUAGUGAUCAAUCAGGAUAAUUAGCAUAUCCAGUUUCUUGAUGUCGGUAAAACAAGUUCCUCUCUUUGGUUAUUUUGAAACACACUGUUAUUGGGAAUGAGAGGGAACCGGAUGUGUCAACUGCCCCCCACACAGAUGGAGGGCGCAUAGGUGGCCCCCAGGCGUGGGGCAGUACUGGGUAGACAUGGUGGCUGGGCUGCCCAGGAAGGUUGGGAUCAGCUGGGAGCUGGGAGGGGUGUCCACUAAGCCAUGUCCAGCUGACCCACUUCUUGUGCUUCGGGUUAUCCUGAGGUCCUGCCAUGGGAUCAGCAUCUACUCUUUCUUUGUGAAUUUUGCACAGACUUUGCAUUCUGGUGUAAUCAGUCUUUCUAUUUUGGUUUUACUACCAAAUGGCUUUCAUUACUGAAAUGUUAAUUUUUUUAAUCAUUUUAACAUCUGUUGUACAAGUUCUCAUUAUUCCUAUUCCAAGCUUUCCUGGCUGUUCUUGUGUAUUUAAUUGUGUGGAGAAGCUCAAAGCCCAUCUUGCAAAUCUUUUCUUUUUCCUUCCAAAAGGAAAAAAAAAAUCUUGUGAAUUUUACUGUGAGGAUGCUGACUUUUUAAAAUUAUUUAGGAGAAGUCGGCCUUACUAUCUAGAGAGAAUAGUUGAUCUCUGUGUAUUCAACUAUAUACAGUCCUCAGUAAAGUCACCUGGGUUUCUCGUGGGUCUGGCAGAGUUUUGUUAAUUUAUUUCCAGCCCUUUUAUGGUUCUGAACAGAAUUGCUAUUAUGUUUUUUUCCAGUGGCUACUUUCUGAUGUGUAGGAAGGCUAUUAACGUUUUGCUUAUUUCUUUUAGAACAAGUCUUCUUCCUGAACUGUCUCUUUUUUCUUUUCUUUUUAUCACAUUCUGGAAGUUUCUUUUAUUCCCUAUUUAUUAAGCUCCUUUCUCCUUCUCUUUUUCCUAAUCAGAAAAGGAUGUUGGGCAUGGCCAGAAGACUUUCUAGCAACAUUGGAAUCAUAUUUUCCUUUUGGUCUAGUGUUAUGAUGUAUUAUACAAAUGAUAAGUCAUAGAACUGUUCUGAAUAUUUAGUCAUCUUUCAACCCUGUGGUCACGGCAUAUUAUUCUUUUAACAUACUUCUGGGUUUCGUUAUGCACAAGGCUCUCUGAAUUCUACGUGUCUGUUAUCUGUUAGGGACAUUUCCAGGCUCAGUGGAUUUCUAAGAAUUUGGCCUUCUGUGGGGUUUUCGCUUCCUCUUCCUGCCCUGCUCAGCUGGUCUCAGCAGUUGACUUUGGUCAUCUCUGCUCACCUCCAGCCAACAGAAGGGUUACCAGGGGCAGGACGCUCAAGGUCACAGGCGCCAUGGGACAUGUGGCAUUGAAGGGAAAAUGGCAGGCUGGGGUCAGCGGUUGGCGGGGAGACAGGAACCAUCCGUCAGGUGCUGAGACCCUGGGCGUGGCUGGUCCCUAGGCCACUCUUACACGUGUGUGGCCCUGGGGUGUGGUGUGCGCGUGCUGGCACCAGAAAGCCCUUCUCUGUGAGUACCCUUUGUCCUCUACAGGUAUGACAGUAACAGCUAAACAAUAUAUAAAUUACUUGAGCAAAGCAGUGCCCAACUAUCAGCCACCCCAGGGGGACCCUGUUCUAUGUGGUUCCAGCUGGAACUGACUGGGGGCUGUGGAAGCUGCCUUCAUACCGGGAAGGUGGACCUCAGUGUCUAGGCCAGCUUCCGCAAGGCCAACUAGGGCCCGUGGGGUUCGAGCAGAGACGCUCUUGGGAUU
This 2222-nucleotide long non-coding RNA is filed under the name Marmota monax (woodchuck). Lineage: Eukaryota; Metazoa; Chordata; Mammalia; Rodentia; Sciuridae. The record is from RNAcentral.